CCCCGUAGGUCCCCUGCGAAUACGGAUCUGGUGAACGGGAGCCGUCUACACCGCGAUAGACUCGUGGCUUAUCGUCUCUCUCGUCCCGUCGGCCAUGGUACUUUUCCUCUUUCCUCACAAAAGUCUUCCCCAUCUCCACCUUCCUCCGGCGAUCUCUUGCCCAGCCUCGGCCGAGAUGGUGCCCUAAAGGCGUAUGCAUGGCCAUGUGACAAGGCGGUGGCCGUGAGGGAGCCGAGGCGCAGGCCCUACAUGUGCCCAUGGGACUACGGUGCACAUGCCAGGAGGCUGAUUCCUUAGGAGUCCAUGGCAUGAACCUUUGGUUUAUGCUUCAAGAUCCAAAGCAAUCAUGACGUCGGUAUGAACAUAAAUCGCCCAACUUAAAUGUGAUCCGGCAAGGCUUCAAUUAAUUGGCCUGACAGAGGCAGAACUCCGAGUCAAUGAAUUAGGAUUUGCAUGGUGCAUGGUGCUUCUGUUUUCCUCUCUAAUUUUUAUUGGACAUAUAUGUUCUUUGUCUUCUGUCCUUGUGUAUGCCUUGAGUUAAUUGUUCUUUUCCUGGUUUGAAAUAACUAUUGUUCCUGAUGAACUCCGCCGAGCUCUUGUGCAUGCAUGAAGGCGAUGUGGCCGUGAUGAUGUCUGAAGCACUAGCUUGCAUGUACAUAUGCCUCUCGGAAAUCGGAAUUCCUCUCCUCUUCUGAAAGUCCUGCAGAUCUCCGGCGAGCUCUUGCUCAGCCAUGGCCCAGGCGACCGGGAUGGAAUCCACGGCAUAUGCUUCUUCAUGUGACAUGGAGAACGAGAAGGUGUGCUGGACUAUAUAUGUUGUCCUCUGCACCUCCUUUCUUCCGGCGAGCACUGUUCAUGCCCGGCGGGCCGGCUGAGUGGGUGCCCGAGGCAUAGGCCCGUGCAUGUGCCUCUGAGACCACGGCGGGUUCGAGAUGAUUCAACUAUCUUUCUCAUAUCUAACGGAAACUUACGGCUUCAAGAGGCCAGACAGAUGCACAACUCUAGUCGGUGGAUUAGAAGAAGGUGCAAGAUUGUUCUGGUUCAAGAUCUUUGCGUUGUCAAGCCAACUCAGGGAUCUAAGUCUGUUGGCAAAAUGGCAAAUACUCCACUGCUUCCGCUUCCGGAAGCCUGACCGAUGAACAACUAGAUGCUGAGCUAAUAGAUAUGAACCGUGUCAAGGCCACCUGGUGCGUGACCAUGGAUUGAUUGAAGACACGCGUAUCAAGGGGUUAAAGAAACUUCUACAUGGCAUAAACAUACGGAACAAGGUCGCUACUCUCCUGGUAUGAUUUGCCUCGGUCGCUUUGGUCCGGUAAUAGCCAAGAAGUGGCCUCCUUGUUGAUGGCAUCUAGGAGACUAGGAGGAUGUUCGGCGCCGCGUACUUGGGGUGGAAGUUUUGACGGACAUAUUGAGCCACCACUCCUUGACGGAAUGCUUGUCAUUCCAAGAGGAAAUGUCAAAACUCUCGAGCACAAUCCCCAAAGCCUUGGUGAACCGGCACUUGUAAAAAAGGUAGUUCUGGUUGCCAAUUCAGUGCCAACUUUGAAGUUGCAACUUAAGCUCCAAAGGGCGGCUUUAUAGUCGAUCUAUAUGGCAUUAUUGCUAGAUCCAGUGUCAGACACCUACCUCAAUUUUAAGUGAAAGGUACUUCGCUUCUAUAAAUUGCUGAUCCAAGUUGUUGGUACCUACUCAACAUCAUCUUGUUAUACUCUUUCCGUCCCAAAUUACGUCUCCCAUAUUUGUGUAGAUAUGGUUGUAUCUAAUAACAAUAAAAUCUACUUCGACCGUCC
This is a long non-coding RNA of Triticum aestivum (bread wheat), 1790 nucleotides long. RefSeq lists it as uncharacterized. The record is from RefSeq and is a predicted model, not a curated record. Lineage: Eukaryota; Viridiplantae; Streptophyta; Magnoliopsida; Poales; Poaceae. The transcript is spliced from 8 exons.